RNAcentral lists this signal recognition particle RNA (313 nucleotides) under Archaeoglobales archaeon. RNAcentral describes it as "signal recognition particle sRNA". It matches the Rfam family "Archaeal signal recognition particle RNA". The record is from RNAcentral. Lineage: Archaea; Methanobacteriati; Methanobacteriota; Archaeoglobi; Archaeoglobales.
UGGUGGGCUAGGCCGGGGGGUUCGGCGUCCCCUGUAACCCGAAACCGUCGAUAUGCGGGGGCCGAAGCCGAGGGAAGGUCCGUUGAGCGGGGUUAACUGUCAGGUGUGGUCUCGUAGAGUCCCCGUCCCGAAGGGUCGGCGGUCACGGUUGGUGCAUUUGGAGGAAUGCACCGCCGUGUUUGUCGGGGGGAACGGCUUAGGCCCGGAAGGGAGCAAGCUUACCCCGAACGUUCGGCGCUUUCGGGGGUGCGGGGAGGAGAGAUCAUACCUGACAGGAUCCCGUAAGACGGAUCGACCCAAGGCGUGCCCACCA